AUUAUAGUCCGGGAGGUAGCGUUGCAAAUGCAAAAGUCAUAGUAAGCCGGCUGAUAUUAACAUCGAUAGUUGAUCUUAUAUGACUAAUAAGUGAACCGACCGUCAGCUGCUCAAGUAGCGGUGGGUGCGGGUGUAGGAGGCUGCGAAAGAGGUGCGCCAGCUGACGCUUGAUUCAGUUAUAAGUA
Molecule: long non-coding RNA, 185 nt
Organism: Pieris napi
Lineage: Eukaryota; Metazoa; Arthropoda; Insecta; Lepidoptera; Pieridae
Exons: 2
Source: RefSeq, a predicted model, not a curated record